GGCUGCGGCUCGACCCUGGGGUGAUCGCCUUCAACAUGGCUAUCAGCGCUUGCCGGCACGUCGGGAAGCCUAGCAGGGCCCUGGGGCUGCUGCGCGAGAUGCGGGGGU
This 108-nucleotide ribosomal RNA is filed under the name Prorocentrum minimum. RNAcentral's name for it is "partial Archaeal small subunit ribosomal RNA". Lineage: Eukaryota; Dinophyceae; Prorocentrales; Prorocentraceae. The record is from RNAcentral.